This 1259-nucleotide ribosomal RNA is filed under the name uncultured Bacteroidota bacterium. Its description in RNAcentral is "bacterial SSU rRNA". It matches the Rfam family "Bacterial small subunit ribosomal RNA", at positions 60 to 1320 of the family's 1533-position model. The record is from RNAcentral. Lineage: Bacteria; Pseudomonadati; Bacteroidota.
AGUCGAACGAGAUUAGAGGGCUUGCUCUCUAUGAAAGUGGCGCACGGGUGCGUAACGCGUAUGCAACCUACCUUAAUCAGGGGGAUAGCCCGAAGAAAUUCGGAUUAACACCGCAUAAAAACACAGGAUAGCAUUAUCCAAUGUUCAAAUAUUUAUAGGAUUAAGAUGGGCAUGCGUGUCAUUAGCUAGUUGGCGGGGUAACGGCCCACCAAGGCGACGAUGACUAGGGGAUCUGAGAGGAUGACCCCCCACACUGGUACUGAGACACGGACCAGACUCCUACGGGAGGCAGCAGUAAGGAAUAUUGGUCAAUGGAGGGAACUCUGAACCAGCCAUGCCGCGUGCAGGAAGACAGCCCUCUGGGUCGUAAACUGCUUUUAUUCGGGAAUAAACCUACUUACGUGUAAGUAGCUGAAUGUACCGAAGGAAUAAGGAUCGGCUAACUCCGUGCCAGCAGCCGCGGUAAUACGGANGGAUCCAAGCGUUAUCCGGAUUUAUUGGGUUUAAAGGGUGCGUAGGCGGCUUAUUAAGUCAGGGGUGAAAGACGGUGGCUCAACCAUCGCAGUGCCCUUGAUACUGAUGAGCUUGAAUACACUAGAGGUAGGCGGAAUGUGACAAGUAGCGGUGAAAUGCAUAGAUAUGUCACAGAACACCGAUUGCGAAGGCAGCUUACUAUGGUGUUAUUGACGCUGAGGCACGAAAGCGUGGGGAUCAAACAGGAUUAGAUACCCUGGUAGUCCACGCCCUAAACGAUGAAUACUCGCUGUUAGCGAUAUACAGUUAGCGGCUGAGCGAAAGCGUUAAGUAUUCCACCUGGGGAGUACGCCCGCAAGGGUGAAACUCAAAGGAAUUGACGGGGGCCCGCACAAGCGGAGGAGCAUGUGGUUUAAUUCGAUGAUACGCGAGGAACCUUACCCGGGCUUGAAAGUUAGUGAAUGAUCUAGAGAUAGAUCAGUGAGCAAUCACACGAAACUAGGUGCUGCAUGGCUGUCGUCAGCUCGUGCCGUGAGGUGUUGGGUUAAGUCCCGCAACGAGCGCAACCCCUAUGUUUAGUUGCCAGCACGUUAAGGUGGGGACUCUAAACAGACUGCCUGUGCAAACAGAGAGGAAGGAGGGGACGACGUCAAGUCAUCAUGGCCCUUACGUCCGGGGCUACACACGUGCUACAAUGGAUGGUACAGAGGGCAGCAAGCUGGCAACAGCAAGUGAAUCUCAAAAAGCCAUUCACAGUUCGGAUAGAGGUCUGCAACUCGACCUCU